RNAcentral lists this ribosomal RNA (253 nucleotides) under uncultured prokaryote. RNAcentral describes it as "partial 16S ribosomal RNA". It matches the Rfam family "Bacterial small subunit ribosomal RNA", at positions 524 to 776 of the family's 1533-position model. The record is from RNAcentral.
UACAGAGGUCCCAAGCGUUGUUCGGAUUCACUGGGCGUAAAGGGUGCGUAGGUGGCGCCAUAAGUCAGGUGUGAAAUCUCGGGGCUUAACUCCGAAACUGCAUUUGAUACUGUGGUGCUCGAGUACUGGAGAGGAGACUGGAAUUUACGGUGUAGCAGUGAAAUGCGUAGAUAUCGUAAGGAAGACCGGUGGCGAAAGCUAGUCUCUGGACAGUUACUGACACUGAGGCACGAAGGCCAGGGGAGCAAACGGG